RNAcentral lists this ribosomal RNA (445 nucleotides) under uncultured bacterium. RNAcentral's name for it is "bacterial SSU rRNA". It matches the Rfam family "Bacterial small subunit ribosomal RNA", at positions 354 to 796 of the family's 1533-position model. The record is from RNAcentral.
GUGAGGAAUAUUGGUCAAUGGGCGGCAGCCUGAACCAGCCAUCCCGCGUGAAGGAAGAAUGCGCUAUGCGUUGUAAACUUCUUUUUCUGGGGAAUAAAAUCCUGUACGAGUGCGGGACUGAAGGUACCCAGGGAAUAAGCAUCGGCUAACUCCGUGCCAGCAGCCGCGGUAAUACGGAGGAUGCGAGCGUUAUCCGGAUUUAUUGGGUUUAAAGGGUGCGUAGGCGGGGCGAUAAGUCAGUGGUGAAAACCUGCAGCUUAACUGUAGACUUGCCAUUGAUACUGUUGUUCUUGAGUAUGGUCAAGGCAGGCGGAAUGUGUAAUGUAGCGGUGAAAUGCUUAGAUAUUACACAGAACACCGAUAGCGAAGGCAGCUUGCUGGGCCAAUACUGACGCUGAUGCACGAAAGCGUGGGGAUCGAACAGGAUUAGAAACCCUUGUAGUCC